This 347-nucleotide ribosomal RNA is filed under the name uncultured Anaerolineaceae bacterium. Its description in RNAcentral is "bacterial SSU rRNA". It matches the Rfam family "Bacterial small subunit ribosomal RNA", at positions 1021 to 1382 of the family's 1533-position model. Lineage: Bacteria; Bacillati; Chloroflexota; Anaerolineae; Anaerolineales; Anaerolineaceae. The record is from RNAcentral.
UUCGGGAGCCUAUACAGGUGUUGCAUGGCUGUCGUCAGCUCGUGUCGUGAGAUGUUCGGUUAAGUCCGCUAACGAGCGCAACCCUCGUCGUAUGUUAUAUGUGUCAUACGAGACUGCCGGUAAAAAGCCGGAGGAAGGUGAGGAUGAUGUCAAGUCAGCAUGACCUUUAUAUCCAGGGCUACACACACGCUACAAUGGUCUGUACAAUGGGUAGCCAAGCCGCGAGGCGGAGCCAAUCCUGAAAGCAGGCCUCAGUUCAGAUUGCAGUCUGCAACUCGACUGCAUGAAGCCGGAGUUGCUAGUAACCGCAGGUCAGCAAUACUGCGGUGAAUACGUUCCCGGGUCUU